CUUCAGUCAAUUCAAUAUACGUAACUCCACCAGAGCAUUCUUCCACUUUUCAUUAAUUUACUAAAUAAAACAGAGAAAACAUAGAAAACACAAAAAAACAUAGAUGAAAUGUUCAGUUUGUUAAAAUGUAUUUUUCUAUGUACUCUUUAUUCCUCAGGUUAUGUAAAAAUAUGCUUAUAGUAAUGUUUUAUUGUUGUAGAGCUUUCAGUCGGUAACUCCCUGGUGAUAUUAAGAAUGGCAACACAACAUCAAAGGCAGGUUGUUAAUGUAUAUUCAACCAAUCAUGCUAUUUAACAAGAUACUAUAUGUUAUUGCAGGGUAUUCAGUAUAUUAUGCAUUUACAUAAAGAAUGAUUAUUGCUACAUUUUACACGCGAUUACAAAGACAGAGGAGGUUGAAUUUGACCAUCU
Non-coding RNA from Pelobates cultripes (western spadefoot toad), 410 nucleotides. NCBI's taxonomy places the organism in Eukaryota, Metazoa, Chordata, Amphibia, Anura, Pelobatidae. The record is from the annotation of a GenBank genome assembly.